Long non-coding RNA from Dermochelys coriacea (leatherback sea turtle), 2159 nucleotides. RefSeq lists it as uncharacterized. The record is from RefSeq and is a predicted model, not a curated record. The transcript is spliced from 3 exons. Lineage: Eukaryota; Metazoa; Chordata; Testudines; Dermochelyidae.
UCCUUCUCAUUCCCUUGGAGGAGGUCCAGGUGAAAGGAGCUGGAGGAGAGGAAAUAUUGCUGAAUCCUGAGUUGUCCCCACUGCUAGAAGAUGGUCUUGCCUAUAUCAGGGUGACGGGACCACUUGUGGUGAGAGGAGAAAUAUAUGCUGAGGUGAUCUUCCAGAUUGAUCUGGGCUCCUGGAAGGUCUUGGCAUGGCAGCAGAGUCAAGAACCAGAUCCAUUGUUGAGGCCUCAAGUGUUUCCUCGAAGGAGCCAGGGCAUAGAGAUCCAGGCACAUGAAGAUGGCUCUAGAAUCCUUUAGGCCAUGAAGCUUUGCAUCAGUGUGUUUGGAGAAGAAGAAAGUGCCUUCCAACAAAAGGUCCUGGAUGGACUAUUGGACCUCCAUUGGCAGACCUGAGAACUGGAGCCAACAGCCUCUGUGCAUGACCGCCGCAGAAGCCAUGAAUCUAGUCACCAAAUCUGUUGCAGCCAGGGAGGCCUGUAGUGAGGUCCUGACCACAGACUUCCCUUCCUCUAACAAAACGGAGAACUCCUGUCUUGUCUCCUGGGGAAGAGAGUCCUUGAACUUCAUCAUUGAUUCCCAAACAUUAAAUUGUGUCUCACCAGCAACACCUGCUGGUUGGAAAUGCUGAGUUCUGGACCCCCUGUAGCAUGAACCUUUCUGCCAAAAAGGUUUAGUCUCCUGCAUCUUUUGCUUUUAAGGUCAUUCCUUUCUGGCCCUGUCUGUCCCUCUCAUUGGCCUUUGAGACCACCAGGGACCCCAGAGGGUGAAAGGAGUACAAUUACUCAAAGCUUUGAGCUGAAAAAAAGUACUUCUUUUCAGCCCUUUUUGUGGUGGGAGGCAGGGAGGAUGGGGUUUGUCAUAGGGCUUUAAUAGAUCCCAUAAUGCCCUCAUUGAGAGGGAGGGCCACCUUUGAUGGGCCCACAGCAGUCAAGAUAUUGACCAUACAUUUGUAAAUUUUAAAUCCUGUUCAUUUUCCACUUACCUUUAGUUUAGGAGCCUUGUUAAUUUUCAAUUUUGCAAGGAUGAUUCUGAAAUAAUUAGACUUUUGUGGCACAUUAUGUAUAGAGACAUAAAGAUCUAAUAACAAAUAAAAGUAAUACUAUUUUAUAAUAAAACAGUAUUGUUAGCUAAUAUAAUUUCAUCAGAAAAAGGGGGGUAGAAAUUCAUUGUUUAGCCAUACGCCGUGCAUAUGUUUCAUCAAUAGCAAAAGGUUGGGCAUAUUAUCUCCUAAUGGACUUAGUUUUUUCUACAGCUAUUGUAUUGUUUCUGGUUUCACAAAUGUAAUCUGUGAAAGCCCUGUCUGCACAGCAAUUACUUUCACUAGCAAUUUAUCAUUUUUGACAGAGUUAGUCACUCUGCUGGAACUGAUAGAGUUAUGAACCCUCCCUAUGAUCCAGUUAAACAUGUGUUUCACAUAUUUAACUCUUUUCUUGUUGGUCCUCCUCUCCCCUGUAUCUGCUGUGCCAUUGUUCUUGAAUUUCUUCUCCACUGGAGUAAAUGGAAUGAUAGGAAGUACUUUGGUAAGUCCAGAUGCUCCGCAGGUGUGUUAUUCCUCAAUGUAUCUGCAAUGCUCAGAAGCAAUUAAAGCAGGCUGGUACUAAAAAGGACAGUGCCUUCCUCAUUGUUGCUCUUGUUUAUUUUGCAUUGAAUUCAUUUGUCACUAAUCAAUUCCUUUCUUUCUCCCUAUCCAAUCCUUUAAAAAAAAACCAACUUCCAAUUGAUUUGCCUUGUUUUAUGCUGGACAUGAGACAAAAGCAGCAAUUCUUUUAUAUCUGUUUAAAAAAUAAACCAGUUCCGAUGCCUGUCCUCCAGGGUGGUAUAUUAUAAUUUAAGAAAUAAUUAGUGAAUGCCACCUCUAAUCAAUCACUCCCUUUGCUGACUUAUUUGAUGUUGAGGAAGCCUGGCUUACAAAUAAGGGUUAAUAACUGCUGUUUACAGCCAAAAUAAAAAAUGUUUUCAAGAGUCUAACGAUGUUGCUGUGCUGCACAAUAGGGUUCCAAUAAAGCUGGCUGACCAAACCAUAUUCCUGGUGUGACAGACCCAGACCAGUUGGGUGCCUGGUAGAAGGCAAAUAUACUGGCCACUGGAUGAAUAGUUUUCUGUUCCCUGAGUGACCAGAGCAGGGGCUGCCCUACAGCAAUCAUUUGUGACCUG